GAGUUUGAUCAUGGCUCAGAUUGAACGCUGGCGGCAGGCCUAACACAUGCAAGUCGAGCGCGAAAGCACUUCGGUGUGAGUAGAGCGGCGGACGGGUGAGUAACGCGUAAGAAUCUACCUAGUAGUGGGGGACAACUCGAGGAAACUCGAGCUAAUACCGCAUACGCCCUACGGGGGAAAGCGGGGGACCUUCGGGCCUCGCGCUAUUAGAUGAGCUUGCGUUGGAUUAGCUUGUUGGUGAGGUAAUGGCUCACCAAGGCUACGAUCCAUAGCUGGUCUGAGAGGAUGAUCAGCCACACCGGGACUGAGACACGGCCCGGACUCCUACGGGAGGCAGCAGUGGGGAAUAUUGCGCAAUGGGCGAAAGCCUGACGCAGCCAUGCCGCGUGUGUGAAGAAGGCCUUAGGGUUGUAAAGCACUUUCAAUUGGGAGGAAAAGCUAACGACUAAUACUCGUUAGCCUUG
This 464-nucleotide ribosomal RNA is filed under the name uncultured Gammaproteobacteria bacterium. RNAcentral's name for it is "bacterial SSU rRNA". It matches the Rfam family "Bacterial small subunit ribosomal RNA", at positions 9 to 476 of the family's 1533-position model. Lineage: Bacteria; Pseudomonadati; Pseudomonadota; Gammaproteobacteria. The record is from RNAcentral.